RNAcentral lists this long non-coding RNA (990 nucleotides) under Marmota monax (woodchuck). The record is from RNAcentral. Lineage: Eukaryota; Metazoa; Chordata; Mammalia; Rodentia; Sciuridae.
GAAAAAGUGCACUGAAAUUAAACAAUAAGUAUUCAUAUUAAAUGGAUUGCAUUUGAAACUUCAUAUGCUGAUAACAUUUUUUUUUUCUGUACUUUCAGGUGGCCCAUUCUGAGUGUGGACUGCCAAACAAAGUUGUGUAUCUGUCCCUCAACAGUAAUCUUACCUGCUUUGUAUUCUACUGUUAUCAUUCACAUCUUCAGAUAUUCCAAUUUUUCCUCAUUUUUAUUCUAAAGCCAUUGGACUACAGGGUUUCCAACUUUGGUGCUUUCUGUUCCAGUUAAAAUUAAUGUUCAAGAACUACCAAAUUUUCACAAGAGAUUCUUUAUUAUUUAUUCACAUGGGUUGAGUACCAUUUUUUAGAGGUCCAUGUAGCCUGAAAGAUAAGUGAGUGGGAUGUUUUUAUCUAAUCAUGCUUUUUUAUGCUCUUCUAUUAAAGUAAAGAGAACAUUCCUUUAUAAUAUUAUUAUGAUUAUUAUGAUUAUUAUCAAGAGAUGUGUACCCAUUAUGCCGCUAAUAACAAUCUAUUAUCAGUACUAAAAUAACAUAUUGCCAUAUUUCAAAUUAAUACUUUAAAUAGAUAUAAGUGAAUAUUCCAUACUAAACUGAGAUUAAUCUGUAGGGCACACUGGCACACACCUAUAAUCCCAGGUAUUCAAGAGGCUGAGGCAGGAGAAUCAUAAGUUCAAGGCCGGCCUAGACAACUUAGCAAGAUCCUGUCUCAGUAAUAAUAAUAUUAAUAAUAAAGAGGAUUAGGAAUGUGGUUCAGUGGUAGAGCACCCCUGGGUUCAAUCCCCAGUACUGUAAAAAAUAAAUAAAUAAAAAUAGGUUAAUUCAUGCUGAUUAGCAAAAUUAUUUUGGGUACAACUUAAGAAUUCUGCUCCUUCUUUAGUUUCCAGGAAAAUCCAAGCCUAUCUCACUUACAUCCCACUUGAGAGCUUAUCUAAUUGGAAAAUAUUUCCCCUCUUGGUAAAGUUGUAUCCAUUAUGAGGC